GCUGGCGGCGUGCCUAACACAUGCAAGUCGAACGAGAAAGUGGAGCAAUCCAUGAGUAAAGUGGCGACCGGGUGAGUAACACGUGACUACCUGCCCUUGAGUGGGGGAUAACCUCGGGAAACCGAGGCUAAUACCGCAUAAUAUCGAAAGAUCAAAGGAGCAAUCCGCUUUUGGAGGGGGUCGCGGCUGAUUAGCUAGUUGGUAGGGUAAUGGCCUACCAAGGCGAAGAUCGGUAUCCGGCCUGAGAGGGCGCACGGACACACUGGAACUGAAACACGGUCCAGACUCCUACGGGAGGCAGCAGUGGGGAAUUUUGCGCAAUGGGGGAAACCCUGACGCAGCAACGCCGCGUGGAGGAUGAAGCCCCUUGGGGUGUAAACUCCUUUCGACCGGGAAAAUAAUGAUGGUACCGGUGGAAGAAGCACCGGCUAACUCUGUGCCAGCAGCCGCGGUAAUACAGAGGGUGCGAGCGUUGUUCGGAAUUAUUGGGCGUAAAGGGCGCGUA
This 505-nucleotide ribosomal RNA is filed under the name uncultured soil bacterium. RNAcentral's name for it is "bacterial SSU rRNA". It matches the Rfam family "Bacterial small subunit ribosomal RNA", at positions 35 to 573 of the family's 1533-position model. The record is from RNAcentral.